UAGUGAUGCAUCUAGUCAAACUGUCAACCAGGAGCUUUCAGAUAUUUUCAAUGAGCUCUGGAAGCUGGAUGUGAAUCGCCUGAGCCCUGGGACUCAUUACAAUAUCUCACUACAGGGCAAAGCUGGUUACAUACCACAGGGAAGCACCAGUGCGGUAGACCACGCCUCAUCCUCACUGUUUACCAGUGUUGAUGAGGCCAAACUGAACUCCAUUACCACUUAUGGACGUAUGUUUCUUUUGC
Long non-coding RNA from Sinocyclocheilus grahami, 242 nucleotides. RefSeq lists it as uncharacterized. The record is from RefSeq and is a predicted model, not a curated record. The transcript is spliced from 3 exons. Lineage: Eukaryota; Metazoa; Chordata; Actinopteri; Cypriniformes; Cyprinidae.